Molecule: ribosomal RNA, 446 nt
Filed under: uncultured bacterium
Lineage: Bacteria
Description: partial 16S ribosomal RNA
Rfam family: Bacterial small subunit ribosomal RNA
Source: RNAcentral
CCUACGGGAGGCAGCAGUCGAGAAUCAUUCACAAUGGGGGAAACCCUGAUGGUGCGACGCCGCGUGGGGGAAUGAAGGUCUUCGGAUUGUAAACCCCUGUCAUGUGGGAGCAAAUUAAAAAGAUAGUACCACAAGAGGAAGAGACGGCUAACUCUGUGCCAGCAGCCGCGGUAAUACAGAGGUCUCAAGCGUUGUUCGGAAUCACUGGGCGUAAAGCGUGCGUAGGCUGUUUCGUAAGUCGUGUGUGAAAGGCGCGGGCUCAACCCGCGGACGGCACAAGAUACUGCGAGACUAGAGUAGUGGAGGGGGAACCGGAAUUCUCGGUGUAGCAGUGAAAUGCGUAGAUAUCGAGAGGAACACUCGUGGCGAAGGCGGGUUCCUGGACAUUAACUGACGCUGAGGCACGAAGGCCAGGGGAGCGAAAGGGAUUAGAUACCCCAGUAGUC